Molecule: ribosomal RNA, 175 nt
Filed under: Somion litschaueri
Lineage: Eukaryota; Fungi; Basidiomycota; Agaricomycetes; Polyporales; Cerrenaceae
Description: Spongipellis litschaueri partial 28S ribosomal RNA
Rfam family: Eukaryotic large subunit ribosomal RNA
Source: RNAcentral
CUCAAAUCAGGUAGGACUACCCGCUGAACUUAAGCAUAUCAAUAAGCGGAGGAAAAGAAACUAACAAGGAUUCCCCUAGUAACUGCGAGUGAAGCGGGAAAAGCUCAAAUUUAAAAUCUGGCAGCCUUUGGUUGUCCGAGUUGUAGUCUGGAGAAGCGUCUUCCGCGCUGGACGU